This 1662-nucleotide ribosomal RNA is filed under the name Triticum aestivum (bread wheat). Its description in RNAcentral is "partial small subunit ribosomal RNA". The record is from RNAcentral. Lineage: Eukaryota; Viridiplantae; Streptophyta; Magnoliopsida; Poales; Poaceae.
AUGUCCAUGCUUCUUCUUCCUCCCAGCAGCAGCAGAAGCAUGGCGCCUCCUCCGGCCCUCCGCUCCCCGCGCGCGCCUAUCUCUCCACGGACGGAAUCACCCAGACGACAUGCCAUAGCACGGUGUGACACUUCACGGACCACGCCAAGAAUAUCUGAAACUGAACCUACGCUUGCUCAACCUUCAGCACCUGUCCAAGGUGCUACCGCCCCUCUGGUUCAGGCACUGAAAUCAACUGCAGCCCAAGACGUGUCCUGUUUUCACUUCCCUGGACACAACCGAGGGAAAGCUGCUCCUUCUUCGAUGUUGGACCUUAUUGGCGCGGGCGCGUUUUCACAUGACUUGCCCGAGCUACCCGAACUCGACGACCUCUUCUACCCUAAUGGUGUGAUUUUGGAUGCUCAGAACCAGGCAGCUCAACUCUUUGGGUCAUCUAAAACAUGGUUCCUGGUCAAUGGGAGUACCUGCGGAAUCCAGGCCGCGGUGAUGGCCACCUGCUGCCAUGGUGACUACAUUGUUGUGCCUCGAAACUGUCACAUCUCAGUGAUCUCUGCCCUGGUUCUGUCCGGUGCUGUGCCUAAGUAUAUAGUACCAGAGUACAAUUCUGCAUGGGACAUUGCUGGUGGUAUUACGCCGUCACAGGUGGAUAAAGCACUGAAGGAGCUUGAGAAGGAUGACAAGAAAGUAGGUGCUGUUCUUGUUACUUCGCCGACCUACCAUGGCAUAUGCAGCGAUGUGCAAUGUAUCGUCGAUGUUUGCCAUCCUUUACACAUUCCGGUUAUAGUUGAUGAGGCUCAUGGUGCGCACUUCAGGUUCCAUCACAGUUUUCCAAGCACGGCGAUAGAGCAAGGUGCUGACUUAGCUGUGCAAUCCACGCACAAGGUUCUGAACUCUCUUACACAGUCCUCGAUGCUUCACAUGGCUGGAGGUCUGGUUGAUGCAGAUAAAGUGAGCCAAUGCCUCCAGUUGCUCCAGAGCUCAAGCCCAAGUUACCUCCUACUGUCAUCAUUAGAUGCUGCAAGAGCUCAGUUGAGCGAGAACGCUAAAUCUUUUGAUGAACCGGUGGCUAUGGCUUUAGAAACAAGAGAUCAGCUGAUGGUAAUCCCGGGGUUAUCUGUCCUGGACUUGUCAUGCUUUGCUUCUGACUUCCCUGCCAUUGAUCCUUUGCGUGUCACACUAAGUGCUUCAGAUCUACAUUUAUCUGGAUACGAGGCAGAUGACAUUUUGGAAGAGCAUCAAAUUGUAUGUGAGCUUGUCGGAACACAGGCGGUGACGUUUGCAGUCAACUUAGGGACCAGAAGGCAAGAUGUUCAAAAACUUGUACAGUGUGCAAAGCAUCUCUCAGAUAAAUACAUAUCUGCAAACGGAUCGAGAUUUAGUAAGCAUAACUAUGUUUGUAGCCCAUUGGAUAAGUUCUCUGUCAAGCUGACUCCAAGAGAGGCCUUCUUUACAAAGAAAAGAAGAGUGUGCAUGGAGGACAGCCUUGGGGAGAUUUGUGGUGAGCUUAUCUGCCCGUAUCCACCAGGUAUCCCUGUGCUGAUACCCGGUGAGGUCGUAACUCAGGAUUCGCUGUCUUACUUAAUAAACGUCAGAGACCAGGGCAUGACAAUCAGUGGAGCAGCUGAUGGUGAACUCAACUCAAUCAUGGUAUGCAACUUGUGA